RNAcentral lists this ribosomal RNA (305 nucleotides) under uncultured bacterium. Its description in RNAcentral is "bacterial SSU rRNA". It matches the Rfam family "Bacterial small subunit ribosomal RNA", at positions 333 to 637 of the family's 1533-position model. The record is from RNAcentral.
UGACCUACGGGAGGCAGCAGUGAGGAAUAUUGGUCAAUGGGCGAGAGCCUGAACCAGCCAAGUCGCGUGAGGGAAGACUGCCCUAUGGGUUGUAAACCUCUUUUGUCAGGGAGCAUCGCCGGCUACGUGUAGCCGGACUGAGAGUACCUGAAGAAAAAGCAUCGGCUAACUCCGUGCCAGCAGCCGCGGUAAUACGGAGGAUGCGAGCGUUAUCCGGAUUUAUUGGGUUUAAAGGGUGCGUAGGCGGAAUGCCAAGUCAGCGGUAAAAUCGCGGGGCUCAACCUCGCUCCGCCGUUGAAACUGGG